This 1066-nucleotide ribosomal RNA is filed under the name Pediococcus pentosaceus. RNAcentral describes it as "bacterial SSU rRNA". It matches the Rfam family "Bacterial small subunit ribosomal RNA", at positions 53 to 1074 of the family's 1533-position model. The record is from RNAcentral. Lineage: Bacteria; Bacillati; Bacillota; Bacilli; Lactobacillales; Lactobacillaceae.
ACAUGCAAGUCGAACGAACUUCCGUUAAUUGAUUAUGACGUACUUGUACUGAUUGAGAUUUUAACACGAAGUGAGUGGCGAACGGGUGAGUAACACGUGGGUAACCUGCCCAGAAGUAGGGGAUAACACCUGGAAACAGAUGCUAAUACCGUAUAACAGAGAAAACCGCAUGGUUUUCUUUUAAAAGAUGGCUCUGCUAUCACUUCUGGAUGGACCCGCGGCGUAUUAGCUAGUUGGUGAGGUAAAGGCUCACCAAGGCAGUGAUACGUAGCCGACCUGAGAGGGUAAUCGGCCACAUUGGGACUGAGACACGGCCCAGACUCCUACGGGAGGCAGCAGUAGGGAAUCUUCCACAAUGGACGCAAGUCUGAUGGAGCAACGCCGCGUGAGUGAAGAAGGGUUUCGGCUCGUAAAGCUCUGUUGUUAAAGAAGAACGUGGGUAAGAGUAACUGUUUACCCAGUGACGGUAUUUAACCAGAAAGCCACGGCUAACUACGUGCCAGCAGCCGCGGUAAUACGUAGGUGGCAAGCGUUAUCCGGAUUUAUUGGGCGUAAAGCGAGCGCAGGCGGUCUUUUAAGUCUAAUGUGAAAGCCUUCGGCUCAACCGAAGAAGUGCAUUGGAAACUGGGAGACUUGAGUGCAGAAGAGGACAGUGGAACUCCAUGUGUAGCGGUGAAAUGCGUAGAUAUAUGGAAGAACACCAGUGGCGAAGGCGGCUGUCUGGUCUGCAACUGACGCUGAGGCUCGAAAGCAUGGGUAGCGAACAGGAUUAGAUACCCUGGUAGUCCAUGCCGUAAACGAUGAUUACUAAGUGUUGGAGGGUUUCCGCCCUUCAGUGCUGCAGCUAACGCAUUAAGUAAUCCGCCUGGGGGAGUACGACCGCAAGGUUGAAACUCAAAAGAAUUGACGGGGGCCCGCACAGCGGUGGAGCAUGUGGUUUAAUUCGAAGCUACGCGAAGAAUCCUUACCAGGUCUUGACAUCUUCUGACAGUCUAGGAGAUAGAGUUCCCUUCCGGGGACUGAUGUACAGGAUGGUGCAAUGUGUCGUCAGCUCCUGUCUGAGAUG